GAUGAACGCUGACAGAAUGCUUAACACAUGCAAGUCUACUUGAACUUCGGUUUGGGUGGCGGACGGGUGAGUAACGCGUAAAGAACUUGCCUCACAGUUAGGGACAACAUUUGGAAACGAAUGCUAAUACCUGAUAUUAUGAUUUUAGGGCAUCCUAGGAUUAUGAAAGCUAUAUGUGCUGUGAGAGGGCUUUGCGUCCCAUUAGCUAGUUGGAGAGGUAACGGCUCACCAAGGCGAUGAUGGGUAGCCGGCCUGAGAGGGUGAACGGCCACAAGGGGACUGAGACACGGCCCUUACUCCUACGGGAGGCAGCAGUGGGGAAUAUUGGACAAUGGACCAAAAGUCUGAUCCAGCAAUUCUGCGUGCACGAUGACGUUUUUCGGAAUGUAAAGUGCUUUCAGUUGGGAAGAAAAAAAUGACGGUACCAACAGAAGAAGUGACGGCUAAAUACGUG
RNAcentral lists this ribosomal RNA (454 nucleotides) under uncultured bacterium. RNAcentral's name for it is "partial 16S ribosomal RNA". It matches the Rfam family "Bacterial small subunit ribosomal RNA", at positions 28 to 507 of the family's 1533-position model. The record is from RNAcentral.